Molecule: ribosomal RNA, 253 nt
Filed under: uncultured bacterium
Lineage: Bacteria
Description: partial 16S ribosomal RNA
Rfam family: Bacterial small subunit ribosomal RNA
Source: RNAcentral
UACAGAGGGGGCAAGCGUUGUUCGGAAUUACUGGGCGUAAAGGGCGCGUAGGCGGCCCGCUAAGUCGAACGUGAAAUCCCCGGGCUCAACCUGGGAACUGCGUCCGAUACUGGUGGGCUUGAAUCCGGGAGAGGGAUGCGGAAUUCCAGGUGUAGCGGUGAAAUGCGUAAAUAUCUGGAGGAACACCGGUGGCGAAGGCGGCAUCCUGGACCGGUAUUGACGCUGAGGCGCGAAAGCCAGGGGAGCAAACGGG